Molecule: ribosomal RNA, 133 nt
Filed under: uncultured bacterium
Lineage: Bacteria
Description: partial 16S ribosomal RNA
Rfam family: Bacterial small subunit ribosomal RNA
Source: RNAcentral
UGGGGAAUUUUCCGCAAUGGGCGAAAGCCUGACGGAGCAAUACCGCGUGAGGGAUGACGGCCUAUGGGUUGUAAACCUCUUUUUUCAGGGAGGAAUCAAUGAUGUGUACCUGAAGAAUAAGCAUCGGCUAACU